UCCCUGCUGGUCCAGUGGCUAAGACUCUGCACUCCCAAUGCAGGCAACCCAGGUUCAACCCCUGGUCAGGGAA
RNAcentral lists this transfer RNA (73 nucleotides) under Bos taurus (domestic cattle). It matches the Rfam family "tRNA". Rfam says of the family: Transfer RNA (tRNA) molecules are approximately 80 nucleotides in length. Lineage: Eukaryota; Metazoa; Chordata; Mammalia; Artiodactyla; Bovidae. RNAcentral also lists the same sequence under 1 other name. The record is from Rfam by way of RNAcentral.